RNAcentral lists this unclassified non-coding RNA (2408 nucleotides) under Hevea brasiliensis (rubber tree). Lineage: Eukaryota; Viridiplantae; Streptophyta; Magnoliopsida; Malpighiales; Euphorbiaceae. The record is from RNAcentral.
GGCAAUGAAAACAAACGCACAUAGCUCUACGGAAUCUUGUUUACUUAAACUUAGAAUUAAUAUAAAGUUUCAAAUAUAAAUGCAAAAAUCACUAGAAUAGCAGUCACUUCUUGAAGUGUUAAAAAAGGACAAAACACACACACUCAGACACUUAUAUAUAUAAUACUACUAAAAAAAAUAAAAAUUAAAGUGAAAAAUAAGGUCAUGAGGCUUUCAAGAGAGUUUCCUAUUUGGUCAUAGGAUAACACAUGAGAUCAACUUCGUUUCAGCCUCUCAUUUCAAUCUUCAAGUUAUUAUUAAUUAUCAUCAUCGUCAUCAUUAUCAUUGUCAUCGAUUUAAUUAUUAUUUUACAUAUAUAAAGCUUGAUUAUUUCUACAAGUUCAACUCACAGGCUGCCAUUGAUCUCGUAGAAUCCAUUAGAUUUUUGAGUACCCUCUCCUGCAAAUGACUGGUGAUCUAAUUUCGCGUGCUUGUUUCCAUCCAGCUUGAGCCCAAAGUGAAUGUGAGGGAAAUGUGCCCAAUUUUUUGCUGCUGUGCUAAAAGCUUCCCUGUGGCUGAUGUCAGGAUUACUAGCCUUGAUCCUUUGAAUUUCCUCCUUAAUGAACCUGUUAUAUGCGGAUGGAACACGUUGUCUCUUCUCUGGGGGGCGGAUCGGAGGCAUUCUAGGUGGUUCAUGAUCCCCAGACUCAAAUGCGGUGACCUUUUCGGAAGAUGAUCCACAGUCCUUGUUUACAUCUUCAGAGCUUAAGUGCAUUUUCUGCGAGGACUGGGGAUCUUGAAGAGGAAAUGUUUGAAGUGAAGCUGCCAUGUUCACAGACAGCAAAUUUGCACAAUGCCCACAUCUGACCGUCACAAUAUUGAACAAAUUGCUGCUUGGAACACUAACCUGCCAACCACAACAUUUCAGAACAUGAAAAGGAAUCUCCUUUAUUAUAUAUGCACGUAUCUCUCCCACACAUAUACUCCACCUGUUACUUACAGCAUGUAGAAACCCUAGCAUCCAAAACCCAACUAUUCUUAUGACCAACAGCAAAUACCCAUGAAGUAAUUCGUCAGAUCAAACAAUGUUAUAGAAACAUAAGAAGAAGUAACAUUGCAUGCAUAUGCUGAAACUCAAAAGCUUUGAGAGGUCUACACAAUAAGUAACUAAAAUCACAACUAUAAAUAGAUUUCUUUCUAUCAAUCAUGUAAAGGAAGAUGAAUGAAAAAGAAAAUGUAGGGCUGCAAUUCGAGUGGAAGUGUAAGUAUAAAACGAGAGAGAAGGAGGAAGUGAGAAUGAAUGUGCCAACGAGAAGUAGAGAAAGGACAAAUCAUUUUUUUUUUCCUGCAAAAUUUUAUGGGUUUUCAUUGACAUUGUAUGGGGCUCAUUCGUGGGCUAAGCUUGAGAGAGAGAUGGAGAAUUGUAUUUUAUCUAUGUAAAGAUCAAAUGCACUAGUUCCCAGUUAUCACUGACCUCACAGACACCUCACAUGGGUAUUAACUAUAAGGACUCGACCUUGUAAAUUUAAAUGCUACUCUUAUCUCUCAAAAUUGCUCCUUCCUUUCGGUGCUGCUCCUGACUUUUUCUCCUGACACAGAGACCAAUAUUAUAAAAGAUAAAAAAUAAAAAAUAAAAAAGAAGAAAAUAGGCAUGAAGCAAGAGGGAGAAGAGAAGAUGAAAGGGACGUGACUGGAACGGAAACCAUAGAUAGCAAUGAAUAAAGAGAGAUGUGUCAUGACUAGAAAUUAUAUACUGAUCUUUGUGCACUGCUUAGGAUCUCCAUUUCUGAAAAGGGAUGCGCAGAGAAGAGAGUGAGACAUAAAAAGCAGAAUUUUCUCUUUAAAUUUAACAGAUAAUUGUCAUGAUGAUGAAAGAUGGUUGAAAAAGAGAGACUAAAAGCAAUUUUAUUUCUCUAUGGCUUGGCCUUGAUUCUUUUCGGCUAGCUAACUAGCUCGAUCACCUCACAAUUUCUUGUAGAGAAGAGAGACAACUCCUUUUGUACUUAAAAGGCACAAACCAUAAAAUAAGCAAGAAGAAGAUCACAUUUCUGAUGAAAAUUGAUUCUUCAUUGCCUUAGUUCGCAGCAACAGAAGCACCCACCUCAGAAAGAGAGAGAGAGAGAGAUUGAUCUUGAACAAUUACCAUUCACAAAUUAAAGAUCAUUACUACACUAUCGAAUGGAAAAUGGAAAGCCAUGUGCCAGCAGUGAUAGGCCGCUAUUGAUCGAUAGGGUAGCAUGACGUAUGAAACUGUGCAACAUUUCUGCAAGCCCAAGGAAAAGCUUUCCCUCCCCUUGUACCCAAUAACCUGCUAAGAACCCUAACGCCUAAAUGUAGUCCUAGUAAAUAGCUCAUCAGCUAAAGAUUGUCUUCUUUAUGAGCGUUUGAAAUUGUUAUAAACCUAACUUCUUCUUCUUCUUCUUCUUCUU